UACCUUGAAAGAAAUCCUGGCUUGGCAUGGUGGCUCAUGCCUGUAAUCCCAGCACUUUGGGAGGCUAAGGCAGGCUGAUCACUUGAGCCCAGGAGUUUGAGACCAGCCUGGGAAACAUGGCAAAACCCCAUCUCUACAAAAAAAUACACAAAUUAGCUGGGUGUGGUGGCAUGUACCUGUGGCCCCAGCUACUAAGGAGGCUGAGGUGGGAGUAUCACCUGAGCCAGUGAAGGUCGAGGCUGCAGGGAGCUGUGAUUGCUGACCUUCUUCUUCUGGCUUGGGUUCCAACACUUCAGGCAAGGCUGUUACCUUCAAGAAUGCCCACUCCACCCUAAUCUGUUUCUCACACACCUUGACUCUUCUCCCCCUUUUAGGUGAUCUUUUCACUCCAUUUAGGUCUUUCUUCAGGAAUUCUCUCUUCACCCCUCUCAGACUUGGACACCCAUAUUCUGAACUUCCCCAUCCCACUACGGAUGCCUUUCUCACCCCCUUAGGACUCUGACAACUCACUCCAGACCACCUGCCUAUGGUGUGCAGGUGUUUUCCUUAUCCCGUUUGUGUUCUAAUAUCUUCUAUCAGUCAGCUUUUCUUUGCAGGUGUGGUCCUCAUCCACGUGCUAGGAUCCACACGUUCCUCUUGUGUGUUUGCCCCUUUCAUGCUGUGUGGACUCUGACACCGUGAACUGAGCUGCUCUUCCGUGUUGACCUCUCCCUUAUUCCGUUCAGGCUCCAAAACAUCAUGCUGAGCAGAACAAGAAGUGUAUCAGCAUUGAGGGGAUGAAGGAGGAUGUGUACCAAAUAUCUAGGAAGGAAAGAUUCCCAAGGAAGAAGUACAUUGGUGUGUGGAGACGAGCAUCCAGGAGUGUCAGAAUGAUAAAUGUGCUGUUCCCCAGGAGAAUCACCAGACUACAGAUGAGAGGAUUGAUCAUGGGAGUCAUCACUCCAUAGAAAAGGGAGAUGAGGGCCUCAAUGAUGUCUUCAUUAUCUGAAUCAAUAGAAGCUUAAGACUCAGGCUUUGCAUACAUGAAGAAGAUGUUUCCAUAGAAUAUAAUCACCACUGUCAGGUAGGCUGAGCAGGUGGAGAAGGCCUUAUGUUUUCCUUCAGUGUAAGGAAUCCUGAGAAUAGUGG
RNAcentral lists this long non-coding RNA (1128 nucleotides) under Callithrix jacchus (white-tufted-ear marmoset). RNAcentral describes it as "lncRNA (ENSCJAG00000075456.1)". The record is from RNAcentral. Lineage: Eukaryota; Metazoa; Chordata; Mammalia; Primates; Cebidae.